Molecule: ribosomal RNA, 1886 nt
Filed under: Euphyllodromia sp.
Lineage: Eukaryota; Metazoa; Arthropoda; Insecta; Blattodea; Pseudophyllodromiidae
Description: SSU rRNA
Rfam family: Eukaryotic small subunit ribosomal RNA
Source: RNAcentral
AGAUUAAGCCAUGCAUGUCCAAGUACGAGCUAUGUUAAAGUGAAACCGCGAAUGGCUCAUUAAAUCAGUUAUGGUUCCUUAGAUGAAUGGCAGUUACAUGGAUAACUGUGGUAAUUCUAGAGCUAAUACAUGCAACGUAGUCCCGACUGUGAUGGGAAGGACGCUUUUAUUAGAUCAAAACCAAUCGGACGCUCCGGCGUCCGCUGGCCUUGGUGACUCUGAAUAAAUCUUGGCUGAUCGCACGGUCUCUGUACCGGCGACGGGUCUUUCAAAUGUCUGCCUUAUCAACUGUCGAUGGUAGGUUCUGCGCCUACCAUGGUUGUAACGGGUAACGGAGAAUCAGGGUUCGAUUCCGGAGAGGGAGCCUGAGAAACGGCUACCACAUCCAAGGAAGGCAGCAGGCGCGCAAAUUACCCACUCCCGGCACGGGGAGGUAGUGACGAAAAAUAACGAUACGGGACUCAUCCGAGGCCCCGUAAUCGGAAUGACAACACUUUAAAUCCUUUAAGAAGUAUCAAUUGGAGGACAAGUCUGGUGCCAGCACCCGCGGUAAUUCCAGCUCCAAUAGCGUAUAUUAAAGUUGUUGCGGUUAAAAAGCUCGUAGUCGGACUUGUGUCACACGCUGCCGGUUCACAGCCCGUCUGUGUUUAACUGGCAUGUACGUGCUGACGUCCUGCCGGCGGCCCGAUCCGAGGCGGGCGAUCAACCGGGGGGUCAUCCUCUCUUCGGAGUGGACCCCGGCGUCACCGCAUCUCUGGGGAAGGCCUAUCUUACCCGUCCCGGUGCUCUUAACCGAGUGUCUCGACGGGCCGGCACGUUUACUUUGAACAAAUUAGAGUGCUUAAAGCAGGCUUCCCUCGCCUGAAUACCGAGUGCAUGGAAUAAUGGAAUAGGACCUCGGUUCUAUUUUGUUGGUUUUAGGAAUCCCCGAGGUAAUGAUCAAUAGGGACAGACGGGGGCAUUCGUAUUGCGACGUUAGAGGUGAAAUUCUUGGACCGUAGCAAGACGAACAGGUGCGAAAGCAUUUGCCAAGAAUGUUUUCACUGAUCAAGAACGAAAGUUAGAGGUUCGAAGGCGAUCAGAUACCGCCCUAGUUCUAACCAUAAACGAUGCCAGCUAGCGAUCCGCCGAAGUUCCUCCGAUGACUCGGCGGGCAGCUCACGGGAAACCAAAGCUUUCGGGUUCCGGGGGAAGUAUGGUUGCAAAGCUGAAACUUAAAGGAAUUGACGGAAGGGCACCACAAGGAGUGGAGCUUGCGGCUUAACUUGACUCAACACGGAACAACUCACCAGGUCCGGACUUCGGGAGGAUUGACAGAUUGAGAGCUCUUUCUUGAUUCGAAGGGUGGUGGUGCAUGGCCGUUCUUAGUUGGUGAAGCGAUUUGUCUGCUUAAUUGCGAUAACGAACGAGACUCUAGCCUGCUAAAUAGUCGUACCGGAAUCCUUGGCGCUUCCGGCGAUACAUGAUCUUCUUAGAGGGACAGGCAGCAUCUAGCUGCAUGAGAUUGAGCAAUAACAGGUCUGUGAUGCCCUUAGAUGUCCUGGGCUGCACGCGUGCUACACUGAAGGAGACAGCGUGUCUUCUCUGGCCGAAAGGUCCGGGUAACCCGCUGAACCUCCUUCGUGAUAGGGAUUGGGGCUUGCAAUUGUUCCCCAUGAACGAGGAAUUCCUAGUAAGCAGGAGUCACUAGCUUCUGUUGAUUAGGUCCCUGCCCUUUGUCCACACCGCCCGUCGCUACUACCGAUUGAAUUAUUUAGUGAGGUCUUCGGACCGGUGUACGCACGUGUUUCACGUCCGUUCGUCGGAAAGAUGAUCGAACUUGAUUAUUUAGAGGAAGUAAAAGUCGUAACAAGGUUUUCGUAGGUGAACCUGCGAAAGGAUCAUUA